Molecule: long non-coding RNA, 314 nt
Filed under: Brassica napus (rape)
Lineage: Eukaryota; Viridiplantae; Streptophyta; Magnoliopsida; Brassicales; Brassicaceae
Description: long non-coding RNA (BNAP_LNC017040)
Source: RNAcentral
UAGGGAAGGUGACUUAUUAUAAGUAGUGAUAGAUCCAUACCUUAUGAGUUUUGUGCUCUGUUUAUAGAGGUAAAUGAGAUAAGUGCAUAACGACUAAGGGGAGCAACAAACAAGUAGAUCAUAUGACUAUACUAUAUAUUUCAAAUUAAUAGAAAUACAUGAACUAACCAUCUGAUCUGAACCAUGUGCAUACAGAUACCGGAUCAUGACACUGUUAGGCUGAUAACGGGAUCGUGGGUGCGUGAGCAAUACGGAAAAUGGAUAUUUGAUUCCCUUUCAGAAGAAAGCUGCUACCGCGUUACCCUCUUACAUGG